This 494-nucleotide ribosomal RNA is filed under the name uncultured bacterium. RNAcentral describes it as "partial 16S ribosomal RNA". It matches the Rfam family "Bacterial small subunit ribosomal RNA", at positions 28 to 507 of the family's 1533-position model. The record is from RNAcentral.
GACGAACGCUGGCGGCGUGCUUAACACAUGCAAGUCGAACGGUGAAGCGCCUUCCUUUUUGGUGGGUGUGGAUGAGUGGCGAACGGGUGAGUAACACGUGAGUAACCUGCCCCCUUCUUCUGGAUAACCGCAUGAAAGUGUGGCUAAUACGGGAUAUUCUGGGUCUGUCGCAUGAUGGGUCUGGGAAAGAUAUUGUUUCGGUGGGGGAUGGGCUCGCGGCCUAUCAGCUUGUUGGUGGGGUGAUGGCCUACCAAGGCGGUGACGGGUAGCCGGCCUGAGAGGGUGGACGGUCACACUGGGACUGAGACACGGCCCAGACUCCUACGGGAGGCAGCAGUGGGGAAUAUUGCACAAUGGGCGCAAGCCUGAUGCAGCGACGCCGCGUGAGGGAUGGAGGCCUUCGGGUUGUGAACCUCUUUCGCCAGUGAAGCAGGCCUGCCUCGUUUGUGGGUGGGUUGACGGUAGCCGGAGAAGAAGCGCCGGCUAACUACGUG